This 253-nucleotide ribosomal RNA is filed under the name uncultured bacterium. Its description in RNAcentral is "partial 16S ribosomal RNA". It matches the Rfam family "Bacterial small subunit ribosomal RNA", at positions 524 to 776 of the family's 1533-position model. The record is from RNAcentral.
UACAGAGGGUGCAAGCGUUGUUCGGAAUUAUUGGGCGUAAAGCGCGUGUAGGCGGCUUUGUAUGUCGGGUGUGAAAGCCCUCGGCUUAACCGAGGAAGUGCGCCCGAAACUGCAGAGCUUGAGUGCCGGAGAGGAGAGCGGAACACCCGGUGUAGAGGUGAAAUGCGUAGAGAUCAGGAAGAACACCCGUGGCGAAGGCGGCCCACUGGGCCGGUGCUGACGCUGAGGCGCGAAGGCGUGGGGAGCGAACGGG